GUGCACUGGAAAGAGAACAUUCAGAUGUGUGACCUACUUGCUAAAUCUGCUUUAGGACAUAUCAAGCAAAGGCAGCUAUUUACAAAUGCAAGGAGAGGCACUUCUCACACAUACUUUAAAUGGCAUUAUGAAACCAGACUUUCCUUGAAGAGCAAAGCUGGGAGUGAGAAACAGUCCUGAGAAACACACACAGGCGGCAUCAGGCUGCGCACCGCGGAUACACUACCUUUUCCUUGUCUGUCCUCCACCGAGCCCACGGACAGCCUGCUUGACCUCUAUCCUGGCUACUGAAAAGUUUUGAAAAUAUUUCGAGCACCUACCUCUCCAUGAUUGAAAAAGAAGCAUGACACCGUUACGAGGCCUCCCAAUCGGCUGCCGCUGGAAAAAAGAAGAGGACAAGGAAAUGGGACUGGAGAACAGUACAGUGAAGCCCAGGUUGGUCCCAACAGAACCUUAAAGGGACACGGUAUGGUGGCCUUCCACAAAUGCAGAAUUCUCCUAUACAGUUUAUUUCCUCCAAAGUAUCAUUAGCCAAAAAUCAUUUUAUCUUUAAAACAAUCGUCGGCUGUUUUCAAAAUGUGCACUCCCAGACCAGCCAACAGAAAGGGAAGGGGAAAGUCCUGCAGCCCUCACCAAGUGUCUGCAGCCUGGCUGCAAUUCUGGAAAGCAUCAGAAAAGUGGCACAGCACAUAAAUAUCAAAGUAUGGCAAUCAGGCUUCAAAGUGCUGGCAGCCUGGGAAGGACACCUUCAUCUUCUCUGGGAAGAGGGAACACCUCCCCGCCCUGCCCUGGACACCUGGGAAGAGGAUGCAGGCUGAUUCCAGUUGGCUGCAACUUUGCUUUCCUUCGUAUCCCUCGAGGUUAUUCCUCGAUUGAACACUUGCUGCUUUCUCAGUAUCUACUCCAGGAUCACCCCCCACACCUGUCACCUGCAAGUGCGCCCAUGACAAAGUGAGGACUGGGCAGUGCACAGGCCCGGCCUGCUCAGGCUCCCAGGUCUCAGUGCUUGCUCUUGGGGAUAAAGGUGAUGGCAGGGAGGGGCUGCACUGUGAGCACAUCCCUGAGGGCAGAGGAGGGGAGAGCUGUGUGUCCUUGGUGGUUUCCAUUUUCCAUAUGGGGCAGGCACAGCCACUUUCUGCUCAGAAGGACAGGAGCACCAAGAGAGGGCUGAAGGCCGAAAUACCACGGGCCCGUAAGGAGAGACAGGGCAAGGGGCCCACAGGGUCAUGAGCCAUCUUUCAGGGGGCAGGUGAGGUGGGAAGUGACCACUAACAUUCCGGGUCUCUAACUAGAGGGCUGUGUGAUUUCCCUCCAUCAGCUGACACAGGAUGGGCACGAGCAAAACAGAAGAGAAACAGAAACUCUGGAUAUGGGCUGGAAAGUGGCCAGGAGAAUGGGUCACAGGAAUAAGGGGAAAGAGUGGGGGGAGUUGGACAGGCAGGGGCACAGAGUCCUCCAGGAGGCAUCCAGAGCACCUUCAACGGAAGAGCAAGGAACCCACGCCCGCCUCACCCAGGGGGAACGAACAGGACACAGGCCUCUCCGGUUUCUCCCUGGAAAUUAAAGUGCACCAGCACUGGCGAAUAGAAAGAUGCUUAUUUUACAGAAGGAAACAGACAUGAGAAGGCUUAAGAUAGCUAAGGGUUUUUAAUUAUAAUAAAUUUUACUAUUCUGAGGUUUUUUGGACAACACAAAAAGAACAGUAUUUCCUAUUCAAAACAAGUAAUGUUGAUGUCUUCCUGCCCUCCAUCCUAGUCACCCAAGUCCAUCUAGGACCCUCUGUGUCCACCUCCCACGUCCUUCUCUAUAGCCACACAGAAUAGGCUUCUAAUGGGAGUGUACCAUGCACAUUCCUGUGAAACCUGUUCUUUUUCUAAUCACGAAGCUUUUUCCUAAUCAAUACAUGUAACCUAAGUCAUUCUUUUAAUAAACAUCAAAUACUGUGCACUACCACCAUAUGCAAUUUGUUCAGCCCUUUCCCUAUUAGACUCAAUCUCUUGCUAUAAUUUUGUAAAAGGUAGAAACCCUCAUUCAUGCAAUACUGG
Cavia porcellus (domestic guinea pig) is the source of this 2045-nucleotide long non-coding RNA. RefSeq lists it as uncharacterized. The record is from RefSeq and is a predicted model, not a curated record. Lineage: Eukaryota; Metazoa; Chordata; Mammalia; Rodentia; Caviidae. The transcript is spliced from 3 exons.